Molecule: ribosomal RNA, 120 nt
Filed under: Anolis carolinensis (green anole)
Lineage: Eukaryota; Metazoa; Chordata; Lepidosauria; Squamata; Anolidae
Source: RNAcentral
GCAUGUAGGUCAAAAUACCCUAAAGGCACCAGAUCCUGUCUGAUCUUGGAAACUAAGCAGGGUUGGCCUUAACUACUACUUGGAUGGGAGACCUCAAACAAAUACCAGGUGCUGUGAGCU